This is a long non-coding RNA of Panicum virgatum (switchgrass), 1085 nucleotides long. RefSeq lists it as uncharacterized. The transcript has 4 exons. The record is from RefSeq and is a predicted model, not a curated record. NCBI's taxonomy places the organism in Eukaryota, Viridiplantae, Streptophyta, Magnoliopsida, Poales, Poaceae.
UCUCCUCUUCCCCCAAACCCGGCAGCCAGCCUCCGCCUCCACCUCCUGUCGCGCCCGUUCUCAUCUCCCCCGCCCCUCUCCCUCCCUACAGAUCACCCGCCGCCAGCCACCACAUCUGCCCCCCACUGACCCGCAGCCACUAGAUCGUCCCCAAGGCCAGCAGCUCCGGCCACCACGAACCCAGAUCCGGUAGCACGGGCUCACGCCCAGGCGUUCGUGUGCUGCGGUCACCUCGGUGGUGAUGGGCUCUGGAGACGCACGGGCGCGGCAACUGAGUGUUGUGUGACACGGCGACCAGUUCUCCUAGCGUGUGGAUCUCGGCGUCCUGCGGCCAGCCCCCGAGCUAUGGCUUGCGAUGCAGCGGCGGCAGCAGCCUCCCCGCCGCACCUCCGACCCAUGCUCUCCUAACACGCGGACUUCCAAGCGCUUCCGUCCAGAUCAGGUGCCUCCCCUGCUCCUCGCUUGUUGUUGGAUCCUCCGCUCAGCCCCUCCCGCCGUAGACUUCCAUGGGGUGCAGACCUUUUGAGUGGAUUAGAGAGGAGAGGAGAUGCGCUGGGGCUAGCUAGCUAGCUAGCUCUGGAUUGGCUGGCUAGAUGUGCAGACCUUGAUUCCUUCAUUUGUUAGUAGAGGCGCUAGGAUCAACCCCUUAAGCGGAGGCCGCACAAGCUCGGCGGUGCCGUCGGCGAGAUGAAUGGAGCGGCCAUCCCCGCACGACCCUCACAUGUCUUCCUCUGUCGAUUUAAGGCAGAUAUACACUAAGUGCAGCUAAUGCUCUUCCCCGAAGCAAAGCAAGGCAGAUGCAAGAGUUAAACAAAAUUCAGGUAUGCAAAUAAUUAAACUGAGAUGGAUACAAUACUGGAGGAACUUUUUGCUGCUGCUAAAGUUUUGCGGCUGUACUGGUGGUUUUUGUUGUUUCUAGUGUGUGGUCAAAGAAUGCUGAUAUCUAACUAUUAUUCUUUCUGGUGCUAUCUGUAUGCUGUGGUGAACUCUUUUCACCCCGGAUGAUCUGACAUUUCUGUUGCUGGAACAAAGCUGUAUUAUUGUAUGAUUUUCUGUGAAAUUAGCUGUUGUAAUUCUAUGUAUUA